This 323-nucleotide ribosomal RNA is filed under the name uncultured bacterium. RNAcentral's name for it is "bacterial SSU rRNA". It matches the Rfam family "Bacterial small subunit ribosomal RNA", at positions 351 to 688 of the family's 1533-position model. The record is from RNAcentral.
ACGAAGGGGAAUUUUGCGCAAUGGGGGAAACCCUGACGCAGCAACGCCGCGUGGAGGAUGAAAUCCCUUGGGAUGUAAACUCCUUUCGAUAGGGAAGAUAAUGACGGUACCUAUAGAAGAAGCCCCGGCUAACUUCGUGCCAGCAGCCGCGGUAAUACGAGGGGGGCAAGCGUUGUUCGGAAUUAUUGGGCGUAAAGGGUGCGUAGGCCGGUUUGACAAGUCAUCUGUGAAAUCUAUGGGCUCAACCCAUAGUCUGCAUAGGAAACUGUCGGGCUUGAGUAUUGGAGAGGUGAGUGGAAUUUCCGGGUGUAGCGGGUGAAAUG